GUGAGGAAUAUUGCGCAAUGGAGGCAACUCUGACGCAGCCAUGCCGCGUGCAGGAAGAAGGCGCUACGCGUUGUAAACUGCUUUUAACCGGGAAGAAACCCCAGGACGUGUCCUGGGUUGACGGUACCGGAGGAAUAAGCACCGGCUAACUUCGUGCCAGCAGCCGCGGUAAUACGAAGGGUGCAAGCGUUAUCCGGAUUCAUUGGGUUUAAAGGGUGCGUAGGCGGAGCGUUAAGUCAGUGGUGAAAUCCUGCAGCUUAACUGUAGACUUGCCAUUGAUACUGGCGCUCUUGAGUGCGCUUGAAGUGGGCGGAAUGUGCCGUGUAGCGGUGAAAUGCUGAGAUAUGGCACAGAACACCAAUUGCGAAGGCAGCUCACUAAGGCGAUACUGACGCUGAGGCACGAAAGCGUGGGGAUCGAACAGGAUUAGAUACCCUGGUAGUCC
RNAcentral lists this ribosomal RNA (445 nucleotides) under uncultured bacterium. RNAcentral describes it as "partial 16S ribosomal RNA". It matches the Rfam family "Bacterial small subunit ribosomal RNA", at positions 354 to 796 of the family's 1533-position model. The record is from RNAcentral.